Molecule: small RNA, 644 nt
Filed under: Pongo abelii (Sumatran orangutan)
Lineage: Eukaryota; Metazoa; Chordata; Mammalia; Primates; Hominidae
Description: retained intron
Source: RNAcentral
UUUAUGUUAAAUGCUGUCCAUUUACUUGCUCUUUUUCUCUUCAUUAGAAAACUAUGUGCAAGCUGUGGAGGAGUUCCAGUCCUGCCUUAACCUGCAGGAACAGUACCUGGAAGCCCACGACCGUCUCCUUGCAGAGACCCACUACCAGCUGGGCUUGGCUUAUGGGUACAACUCUCAGUAUGAUGAGGCAGUGGCACAGUUCAGCAAAUCUAUUGAAGUCAUUGAGAAGAGAAUGGCUGUACUAAAUGAGCAGGUGAAGGAGGCUGAAGGAUCGUCUGCUGAAUACAAGAAAGAAAUCGAGGAACUAAAGGAACUGCUACCCGAAAUUAGAGAGAAGAUAGAAGAUGCAAAGGAGUCUCAGCAUAGUGGGAAUGUAGCUGAACUGGCUCUGAAAGCUACUCUGGUUGGUUCCGUUAACAUUUUGGUAAUAGCAUGUUUGGUACCAUUUAUGUUAAUGUUCCAUUUGCCAGGAACUUUUCAUCAUGACUUGGUUUCCAGGGAGUUGGUGGGCUCAUCUAAUUAUUCCUAUCAAAUAAUGCAGUGGUUAAGAGGAAAUACCCUGGAGCCCCAGUAUCUGGGUUUUAAUUCCAUACUUAUGUGUGGCCAUGGGCAUUCUCUCCCUCAGUUGACCGAUUUGUAAAAUG